AGCUGUGGACCAGUUGUGUGGAGUCACAUUGUUUCUUUCGUAACACAUUAGGAUUUCCUCCCUCCCACCAAGACAUGCUAAGUGUGAAAUCAGACCCAACUGUGCGAGACGGACACAUCGUGAGAUAUCGCCCCCACCCGAUGCCACCGGAGCCCCUCGCCACCCUCAGCCCCCUCCGGACCCGUCUGACUGAGACAGCCAGCCUCUGGAGACAGCUCACGGCUGAUUGAUUGUCUCUAAGCUCAGUAAAGACACCGUUCAUUCACAGCAGUCUGAGGUGGCUCAGUGGGGACUGGGGCGGGAAAGGAGGGGACAGAAAAUGAUGGCAAACAAAGAGGGCGAGGA
Long non-coding RNA from Gambusia affinis (western mosquitofish), 345 nucleotides. RefSeq lists it as uncharacterized. NCBI's taxonomy places the organism in Eukaryota, Metazoa, Chordata, Actinopteri, Cyprinodontiformes, Poeciliidae. The transcript has 3 exons. The record is from RefSeq and is a predicted model, not a curated record.